CACUCCGUAGGGUCCUUUAUGAAACUUAAAAUAACCCUGUGACUGAUGCGACUUAUGUUGCGGAAAAGAUAACGUGCUGCUCCAGUCCACUUCUCUGUAACCUAAAAAAAGACAUGCAGUCAGACGAAGGCUUCUUUUGAAAUAUGACAGUUAAAGUGUUUCAUUGUGGUGAUAUCACCCCCCCCCCUUCCCGUCUUCACACACAUGAUGUCAAAUCCUCCUUGUUGCUGUGGCAGAUGUACAUCAGACGGAAGCUGCUGUUUGUGGGCUACAUGCACAGUGGUCGCGGCUGCUCAGUCGGGGACCUUCAGAAGCAGAUCUGCAGAAGCAGGGGAGACUACAGAUUAGGUCUGAGCCUCCCACCACACUACAAGUUCAGUGAAGCAGUGAAUAACUCUGCAGCCACAGACCCACACAACUCACAAGAUGCAGCAAUGACAGGAAGAGAUGACGUAACACUGCCUGCUUCAGUGGAAAAGAAGAAGGCCAAUGAGAGAAAAACCAUCGAAGUUCGUGAGGCAUCGCAGCAACGACAGAGAAACUUUUGUGUCAAAUCAAAACAGACAUUUCCGCAUGUUCCUUUGACGACGCAUUGACAAGAUUACCUCUGUAUCUCCCUCGAAAAGUUAUCAAGUGCACUGUUGGUUCAUACUUAAGGUUAAUGUUGGCAAACACCUAAUAUACGUAGUAUGCAAGUUUGCACCUAUAUGGGACUCCAGAUACAACAUUUCUUUCCCUUUUGACAGUAAGGAGCAUGUGCCGGUAACUCUUGCAGCCAUCAGAUGAUCCAAGAUGUUAAGAUGAGAUACAGAUGUUUCACUGUGCUCUGAAUAUUCUAAUUUUAUAUAAAUAUCCAUGAAAGAUACAUGUGUUACUUGGAUUUGUUAUCAUUUUAAUAAACACUUAAUUUUCAA
Long non-coding RNA from Hippoglossus stenolepis (Pacific halibut), 914 nucleotides. RefSeq lists it as uncharacterized. NCBI's taxonomy places the organism in Eukaryota, Metazoa, Chordata, Actinopteri, Pleuronectiformes, Pleuronectidae. The transcript is spliced from 3 exons. The record is from RefSeq and is a predicted model, not a curated record.